ACACUCCUGCGGGAGGCAGCAGUGGGGAAUAUUGCACAAUGGGCGCAAGCCUGAUGCAGCCAUGCCGCGUGUAUGAAGAAGGUCUUCGGGUUGUAAAGUACUUUCAGCGGGGAGGAAGGCGAUAAGGUUAAUAACCUUGUCGAUUGACGUUACCCGCAGAAGAAGCACCGGCUAACUCCGUGCCAGCAGCCGCGGUAAUACGGAGGGUGCAAGCGUUAAUCGGAAUUACUGGGCGUAAAGCGCACGCAGGCGGUCUGUCAAGUCGGAUGUGAAAUCCCCAGGCUCAACCUGGGAACUGCAUUCGAAACUGGCAGGCUAGAGUCUUGUAGAGGGGGGUAGAAUUCCAGGUGUAGCGGUGAAAUGCGUAGAGAUCUGGAGGAAUACCGGUGGCGAAGGCGGCCCCCUGGACAAAGACUGACGCUCAGGUGCGAAAGCGUGGGGAGCAAACAGGAUUAGAUACCCCAGUAGUCCCAUGAU
Molecule: ribosomal RNA, 477 nt
Filed under: uncultured organism
Description: partial 16S ribosomal RNA
Rfam family: Bacterial small subunit ribosomal RNA
Source: RNAcentral